GGCAUCCUGGUCGCAAACGGGCGCGUAUUAAAAACAAAAAUCGGCUGGACGCUUUUACCCCAAUAAAAAGUAUAUUCCGUUGGCCGUGAUAUUUUCGAUGCUACGUGUAAUCCGGGAAACAUAAUGGUAAUCCCACGCUAAGCCGACCAAUGAAACAUUACGGUUCGUCCCGACCGGAGUAUAUCGACUGUGUACACGGAAUUUUUCUCCCCGGAGAAAACAAAAAUUUAUAUCUGCUUCCCUCCUUCUUUCUUCUCUGCCGGUAACAAUUUUUGGAAGUAAAGAAAUUCGUCUUUUUGUAAGAUACUAUUUGAAAAAUGUCGACACGAAAGUCGAUAUAAAAGAUGAUCGGCGUAUCUACUCGGUGCUAUCGGCGCUAGACAUCGCGAAUCGCUAUCGAUGGAACAA
This 408-nucleotide unclassified non-coding RNA is filed under the name Bombus terrestris (buff-tailed bumblebee). RNAcentral describes it as "misc RNA ENSBTSG00005026000.1". The record is from RNAcentral. Lineage: Eukaryota; Metazoa; Arthropoda; Insecta; Hymenoptera; Apidae.